CAUACAAGGCCUUGCGCAAUCCAGUAUGCUUGUUCUCUUUCAUAUGGGUUAUAUUGGCUUAUUUCACUCUUUGGAUGCUAUUCUGAUGCCAUUCUUUGAAUUAUUUUAUGUAAUCUUUUUAAUCUUUAGGCACAUACUGCUAUAUUUCCCCGUUCAUACUGUUACAAGGAUGCUGGAGAUACCUCAUUAGGUGAGAAACUCUAAAUGUAGAUGCAGGUUUCUCUGCUUUGGCAAUUUUAACAUGCAUAGUAAGUCACUUGGACGUGGAACAUUUAAGAAGGGCUGUGAGAGGUUUAUUUCACCGAUAUAUUCCAUGUAAAAUUAGGAAUAGAGGAUUUCUAUUAUUUAGGAAUAUUUAUAGAG
Molecule: unclassified non-coding RNA, 363 nt
Filed under: Hevea brasiliensis (rubber tree)
Lineage: Eukaryota; Viridiplantae; Streptophyta; Magnoliopsida; Malpighiales; Euphorbiaceae
Source: RNAcentral